GCUCGCAUGGUGAAAUUGGUAGACACGACAGACUCAAAAUUUGUUUUCCUUAAUAGAAGUCCCGGUUCAAGUCCGGGUGCGAGCACCA
This 88-nucleotide transfer RNA is filed under the name bacterium. RNAcentral describes it as "tRNA-Leu". It matches the Rfam family "tRNA". From Rfam's summary of the family: Transfer RNA (tRNA) molecules are approximately 80 nucleotides in length. Their secondary structure includes four short double-helical elements and three loops (D, anti-codon, and T loops). The record is from RNAcentral.